Molecule: ribosomal RNA, 255 nt
Filed under: uncultured bacterium
Lineage: Bacteria
Description: partial 16S ribosomal RNA
Rfam family: Bacterial small subunit ribosomal RNA
Source: RNAcentral
UACGUAGGGUGCAAGCGUUAAUCGGAAUUACUGGGCGUAAAGCGUGCGCAGGCGGUUUUGUAAGUCUGUCGUGAAAUCCCCGGGCUCAACCUGGGAAUUGCGAUGGAGACUGCAAGGCUGGAGUCUGGCAGAGGGGGAUGGAAUUCCGCGUGUAGCAGUGAAAUGCGUAGAUAUGCGGAGGAACACCGAUGGCGAAGGCAAUCCCCUGGGCCUGCACUGACGCUCAUGCACGAAAGCGUGGGGAGCGAAACAGGG